CCUACGGGAGGCAGCAGUGAGGAAUAUUGGUCAAUGGACGAGAGUCUGAACCAGCCAAGUAGCGUGAAGGAUGACUGCCCUAUGGGUUGUAAACUUCUUUUAUAAAGGAAUAAAACGAGGCACGUGUGCCUUUUUGCAUGUACUUUAUGAAUAAGGAUCGGCUAACUCCGUGCCAGCAGCCGCGGUAAUACGGAGGAUCCGAGCGUUACACGGAUUUAUUGGGUUUAAAGGGAGCGUAGAUGGGUUGUUAAGUCAGUUGUGAAAGUUUGCGGCUCAACCGUAAAAUUGCAAUUGAUACUGGCAGUCUUGAGUACAGUUGAGGUAGGCGGAAUUCGUGGUGUAGCGGUGAAAUGCUUAGAUAUCACGAAGAACCCCGAUUGCGAAGGCAGCUUACUAAACUGUGACUGACAUUGAUGCUCGAAAGCGUGGGUAGCAAACAGGAUUAGAUACCCCAGUAGUC
This 460-nucleotide ribosomal RNA is filed under the name uncultured bacterium. RNAcentral's name for it is "partial 16S ribosomal RNA". It matches the Rfam family "Bacterial small subunit ribosomal RNA", at positions 338 to 795 of the family's 1533-position model. The record is from RNAcentral.